Molecule: unclassified non-coding RNA, 389 nt
Filed under: soil metagenome
Description: partial contains 5.8S ribosomal RNA, internal transcribed spacer 2, and large subunit ribosomal RNA
Rfam family: 5.8S ribosomal RNA (bases 1-122)
Source: RNAcentral
GAUGAAGAACGUAGCGAAAUGCGAUACUUGGUGUGAAUUGCAGAAUCCCGUGAACCAUCGAGUCUUUGAACGCAAGUUGCGCCCGAAGCCAUUAGGCCGAGGGCACGCCUGCCUGGGCGUCACACGUCGUUGCCCCCCCAUCUACUCCUUCGGGAUUGCGGGGGGCGGAUGAUGGCCUCCCGUGCGCCUCGUCGCGCGGUUGGCCUAAAUGCCAAGUCCUCGGCGACGCACGCCACGACAAUCGGUGGUUGCGAAACCUCGGUUGCCCGUCGUGUGCGGUCGUCGCGCAUCGAGGGCUCGAAAAAAUUGCCGGGCUUCGGCUCGACUUUCAACGCGACCCCAGGUCAGGCGGGGUUACCCGCUGAAUUUAAGCAUAUCAAAGCGGAGGA